AAGUCGUAACAAGGUUUCCGUAGGUGAACCUGCGGAAGGAUCAUUACUGGGUAAAGGCCUCGCGCCUCCAACCCCACCCUCCGUAACCGCGGCCCGGAUUCGGCGCUCGGCGGAGCCCCCCUCUGUUCGCGGAGGGUGCCCCGCCUGCCGGAAUCAGCCAACCCUUUGUAAACUGAAGUCUGAGAACAAGUAAAAUUAAACAAAACUUUCAACAACGGAUCUCUUGGUUCUG
RNAcentral lists this unclassified non-coding RNA (232 nucleotides) under Venturia sp. (in: ascomycete fungi). RNAcentral describes it as "Venturia sp. (in: Fungi) partial contains small subunit ribosomal RNA, internal transcribed spacer 1, and 5.8S ribosomal RNA". The stretch from base 1 to 46 matches the Rfam family "Eukaryotic small subunit ribosomal RNA", at positions 1786 to 1831 of the family's 1831-position model. Lineage: Eukaryota; Fungi; Ascomycota; Dothideomycetes; Venturiales; Venturiaceae. The record is from RNAcentral.